Long non-coding RNA from Prinia subflava (tawny-flanked prinia), 4073 nucleotides. RefSeq lists it as uncharacterized. The transcript has 3 exons. Lineage: Eukaryota; Metazoa; Chordata; Aves; Passeriformes; Cisticolidae. The record is from RefSeq and is a predicted model, not a curated record.
UGUUACACUUGCCUACAAUUGUUUUUCUUUUUGCUUAUAUAAACAAUCUAUUAUUUAUUAGCUAUAAAUAAUGCAUUUUUCUGUAUGUUUAGAAUGCACGUGAUUUCUGUAUAUUAAAAAUGUACAUGGUUGAAGGCACCAAAGCAAGCGCUGGCAAGUCGGGGGGUACCUGAUUUCAUUUUGGCCAUGAGACGUUAAUUCAGCCUCUCCUUGCCCCUGCCCUUACGAGGCUGACGACACGGUCACAGCCUAUUUUUAGCUCACUCCCUCUUUUCCUGUCCAGACUGGCUGCACAGCGAGGUGGAGUUAAGGUUGCAUGGACAGCCAUAAAUUGGACGUUUCCUAACUUUGAAGUGCUUGACCACGCAAUCUAAGCGAGGGCUCUUCAGGGCAGUAUUUCUGCAUGUGGCAUUAACUGCAUUGGCUGGGGAUGUCAAACACAGGGGUAGAGAAGCUGUAGAACAGAAAAGACCCAUCGGACUAUUGAAAGUGUUGAUUUGAAUAGGUGGGAGAGUCAACAGAGCCUACACUUGAUCUGAAUGGCCAAGAAGAUGUCUCCAAGCUGAGAGGGGGGAAGCCUUUGUUCCUUCAGUCCCUGCCGUGAUGUUUUCUUUGCCUUUGGUUUUCCCUCAUUUCCUCCUAAGGAGGUUUGGGCUCUUGCUUUUGAGGAACCCUUGGCUUGUGUAGUGAAUUUGUGUGCUGGUGGAAGCGAGGGUGUCCCUGGGAAUGUGCACACACACGCACGCUCCCGUCAUCGCACCAGCAGACGUGUGCUACCAGCUCGUAGGUCCUUGCUGAUUGGCGUCCUUGCCUUGUCUUGCCUUGCCUUGCACACUCCCUCUUUCCCAUGUCACUGUCAGGAGCCAUUCCACACGUUGGAGGGAAAGGAGAGGCCUUUGUGUUUUACAUAGGAAGGAUAAUCUCUUUUUUAGCUGCUGGAAGAAUUACUCUGAAGGUGAUUAUAUGCAAAGCACAUUUAUCUUUGCUUGAAAUAGCACUUUUUUGUUUUCUUUUUUUCCCUUUGUUUACUGGUGGGUAUCUCCAUUCUGGCUCUCAGUAGAAUGCUUGGCUGUCUGUUUUUGAGUGGAGUGGACACCUUGAGCAAAUCAGUCUGGAAAGUAAGCAGCCCUUUGUUUUACUUUCCCAGGUAUAAUGCAGUCACAGCCCCUUGCACACGCCUUGUGCUGAUACCAGAGCACUCUCCCCCAGCUGGCAGUGUAUUUGCCCUGGGUUAUAAUUAUUUGACCCAGCAAUUUUGUGUUUCCAGAAUUCCUGGAACCUGAUACCUGCCUGGGGCUGUUUCUGGAUUGGCACAGGCAUCUAAGUGUCCUGUGUUUGGGUUUCCAUUGUUUGGGUUUGGCUUGUAUUUCAUGAGCAUCUCUUUCAUAACUUUCCCCCUCUCUCCUACCUCUCAGUUCAGCAAAGGGCCUGUCUAUCUGAAUGCAGGCAAUAAACAUCUGUUCUCACCCUCACUUCUGUUAAUGAGAUAGAGACAGGUAAGCAUCACACAUACCAACUUCCCUGCUCUCAGCAACAUCAAGGAAACGGUGACAAGCUAUUAAUGGAAAGUGAUGGUCUGGGUGCUAAUUAGUGUUUCCUUUUCAACUUUUACCUACAUGUCUGCUGAGAUGCCCAUCCCAGCCUCUUCUCUCUCCCUGCAUCCCUUUGUUUCCAGCAUGUUCUGUGUUCACUGUGCACAUCCCAUGUCAAAGAGUCUUCACUGUUUUCCCCUACCGAUCACUUUCUGCAUCCCUUCAUUCCUUUUUUUCCCCCUUUUCCCUGGCACCUUCAUUCUUCUGUGGUUGUUUUAGCAAAGAAUAAGCAUGAUAUGAUAGUAGGAUCUGAAAGCUUGGGGAUGGGAUAUGAGAAGUUGGUCAGGAAUUGCUCAUCUUCAUCACUGGGUAGUAAUAUUUGCUUGUGGCACUAGUGCAUGGGGUCAAAUUACCCUGGGGAUCUGAGGUCAGAGAUCUAUCCCCUCUUCCCACAGGUAAUGCUGUAGGGAGUCUCCCAGCAGCUCACAGGUCUUGAUCAUGGAGCAAUUAGUAUUUAAAGUAGAUCUUCUGGUAAUGCCCAGAGACCAAAUAGGACAGGCCUCCAUGGUGUGAGCCUGCAGGAGAUGACAGGUCCUGCCCCAGAGAGUUUGUGAUCUAAACCCUAAAUGGUUUUGCUGUCCACUAGGCCCCUGUUUUUUUAGUGGCUGGUUUUUGAGAUCCACCCCAAUUUAUGCUGCCGCAGCAACAUGAUUCCUGGUCUCAGCUUGGUGCCCGGUCUGUCUCGUUUCUCUUUCUUCUGGUCCUUGGGCUCUGCCCCUUCCCUAAGGACACUAAUCAUCCCCUCCUCACCUUUUUUGCACAGGCUGUGGGUUUCUUGCUGCCAGGCUUGUGUCCCAAGGAGCUGCCUAAUCUGCCCCUGUCAUUCCCAGUCACAGGCUCUGCACACACCAUAGCUUUAUGGGGAAUGCUUGCAGGGCAGUGGGAAGAGGCAGCCAUGGUUUGCACAUCAGCUAAUUAAUUUUCAUGACUGAACGAUGCUGCCUGGUCUCUUGUUUAUACUCCUCGCCUCUCCCCUUCUCCCCCUCCUCGCUGACACACACACAAGACGACACAUCUCGUAGGAACGUCAGCAUCCUUCCACAGCCUUGAGAUGCGAGCGGUUAUUCUGUUGGCUUGUCAAACGUGGGUUUCCCUGCUUCAUGGUACACAGGGGCCCCCUGUUUCACAUUUGCUGAUUCUUAUUAGACCCAGCGCGCCAGGGCCCUGUCUCUCCCUGCAAAGCAACGCGCCGCAUCCCAUCCAUAAAUCCAACCCUGGAACAAAGCCUCUUCUACCCUGCCCCAUAUUUCUACCCAGCCUGCCCGCUUUCCCCUCUCUCUCUCUCUCCCCCUCUCCCGUGCUGAAGGUUUCCUAGUGCCAGGGAGAUAUGAUAAUUCUUGUGAAGAGAGCAUGAAAUGCCUCUGCUCUUUGUGUCUGUUUAAUUCAAUGAGAAUCCCAGCCCCAGAUGUCAUGAAUGGUGGGCUUUGUGCUGGCCCUUCCUAAGCCCUAACCGCCAGCCCAGCUUUCUGUCUUUCUUGUUUCCCACCACUGGAUACUGAUUAACAAACUAAAUUAUUUUUCCUCCCUAAUGAUGUUUUCCCACUUUGCCCACCAGGCUGGAAGAAGCCACGGGGAGGAAAGAGUUUGUGCAAAGGAUGAGAUAGCCAGGGAGAAAAUUAAAGAGACAGUGUUGCUCUCUGAGCUCUGGCAAUGCAGGUCCACUCGGCUUUAUUUCCUUAUUAGAGAACGGGGUCGUGUCUGGCUGUAUUUUACGUGGCUGGGUGUAUUUCAGCCAAGGGACGGGGUUGAAAGCAUCUGCACAACGUAUGCUCUGGAGCAUGCCAAGACAUGUCUGAGAGUUCGUGGAGUGGGAUGCCUUGGGAAGGGCUGGGACGUCUCCACCUGAGCAAGAAGAGAUCCCCAGGAGUGGACAAGGGACUUUUGAAGCCUGAGAGUUCCUUCUUGCAGUUGGUUGGCACCUGCCCAGACUUGCCAUCUGACUUCUCCGAGUUUCUCCAGGAGGGUCCCAGCCUGCUUCUCCAUUGGCCCCAGAAAGACGACAGCUUUGUCUCGUGAACACAGUGGAUUUCUGCAUCACUUUGAAUUAAAGCGGUGCAGCCAUGGGGAGGGAGCCAGGGCAACACAGGGAGCCAAGGGAUCAUCCCACAUCGCUCCUGUAUGUUGGCUACAAUGCCCUCAAUACCCCAGAGCAGGGCCAAAAUGCUUAGGCAGACACCUGAGCCAGUCACUGUCCCACCUGGUGAAAUACCAGGUGUGUGAAGUUUGGAACGAGCUUUUAGCUCCCGGCUUUGCUCAUGGAGCAGAGCUCGGCCCUUGCUACUCUUGAUCUCUGGGUCUGUGGAGCUGUGGGAGUGCACCCUUCCCACAGGCACUGUGCUUGGAGCCCAGAGGACCAUGAGCCUGUCCAGGCCAGGCUGCCCUGCUGCUGUUGUACUGCACCCUCUGUGUUCCUGUAAGAGAAAUGUACUGCCUGUAAUUCCCUCCCAUUCAAUCCCUCCCCCACCCCAUGCACUGUUGAAA